CGGACGGGUGAGUAACACGUAGCUACUCUACCCCACAGAGGGGGAUAACACACCGAAAGGUGUGCUAAUACCGCAUAUACCCGAGAGGGGAAAGGACUUAUGUCCGCUGUGGGAUAGGGCUGCGGCGUAUCAGCUAGUUGGUGGGGUAACGGCCUACCAAGGCGAUGACGCGUAGCUGGUCUGAGAGGAUGAUCAGCCACACUGGAACUGAGACACGGUCCAGACUCCUACGGGAGGCAGCAGUGGGGAAUAUUGGGCAAUGGGGGAAACCCUGACCCAGCAAUGCCGCGUGGAGGAAGAAGCACUUCGGUGUGUAAACUCCUUUUAUCAGGGAAGAAGCUGACGGUACCUGAUGAAUAAGCUCCGGCUAACUCCGUGCCAGCAGCCGCGGUAAUACGGGGGGAGCGAGCGUUACUCGGAAUCACUGGGCGUAAAGGGUGCGUAGGCGGAUUAGUAAGUUGGGAGUGAAAUCCUAUGGCUCAACCAUAGAACUGCUUCCAAAACUGCUAAGCUAGAGUCCGGGAGGGGCCAAGGGAAUUCCUGGUG
RNAcentral lists this ribosomal RNA (546 nucleotides) under uncultured bacterium. RNAcentral describes it as "bacterial SSU rRNA". It matches the Rfam family "Bacterial small subunit ribosomal RNA", at positions 99 to 675 of the family's 1533-position model. The record is from RNAcentral.